RNAcentral lists this transfer RNA (77 nucleotides) under Acinetobacter baumannii. Its description in RNAcentral is "tRNA-Arg". It matches the Rfam family "tRNA". From Rfam's summary of the family: Transfer RNA (tRNA) molecules are approximately 80 nucleotides in length. Their secondary structure includes four short double-helical elements and three loops (D, anti-codon, and T loops). The record is from RNAcentral. Lineage: Bacteria; Pseudomonadati; Pseudomonadota; Gammaproteobacteria; Moraxellales; Moraxellaceae.
GCGCUCAUAGCUCAGCUGGAUAGAGCACUUGGCUACGAACUAAGGGGUCGGGAGUUCGAAUCUCUCUUAGCGCACCA